AUGAGCGCUGGCGGCGUGCCUAAUACCUGCAAGUCGCGCGAACAGACGAGGAGCUUGCUCCUCUGACGUUAGCGGCGGACGGGUGAGUAACACGUGGAUAACCUACCUAUAAGACUGGGAUAACUUCGGGAAACCGGAGCUAAUACCGGAUAAUAUAUUGAACCGCCUGGUUCAAUAGUGAAAGACGGUUUUGCUGUCACUUAUAGAUGGAUCCGCGCCGCAUUAGCUAGUUGGUAAGGUAACGGCUUACCAAGGCAACGAUGCGUAGCCGACCUGAGAGGGUGAUCGGCCACACUGGAACUGAGACACGGUCCAGACUCCUACGGGAGGCAGCAGUAGGGAAUCUUCCGCAAUGGGCGAAAGCUUGACGGAGCAACGCCGCGUGAGUGAUGAAGGUCUUCGGAUCGUAAAACUCUGUUAUUAGGGAAGAACAAAUGUGUAAGUAACUAUGCACGUCUUGACGGUACCUAAUCAGAAAGCCACGGCUAACUACGUG
RNAcentral lists this ribosomal RNA (496 nucleotides) under uncultured bacterium. Its description in RNAcentral is "partial 16S ribosomal RNA". It matches the Rfam family "Bacterial small subunit ribosomal RNA", at positions 29 to 507 of the family's 1533-position model. The record is from RNAcentral.